GUCCACGCUGUAAACGAUGUCUACUAGCCGUUGGGCGACUUGAUCGCUUAGUGGCGCAGUUAACGCGAUAAGUAGACCGCCUGGGGAGUACGGCCGCAAGGUUAAACUCAAAUGAAUUGACGGGGCCCGCACAAGCGGUGGAGCAUGUGGUUUAAUUCGAUGCAACGCGAAGAACCUUACCAGGUCUUGACAUCCUCGGAACUUAGCAGAGAUGCUUUUGGUGCCUUCGGGAACCGAGAGACAGGUGCUGCAUGGCUGUCGU
Molecule: ribosomal RNA, 262 nt
Filed under: uncultured bacterium
Lineage: Bacteria
Description: partial 16S ribosomal RNA
Rfam family: Bacterial small subunit ribosomal RNA
Source: RNAcentral